This 511-nucleotide ribosomal RNA is filed under the name uncultured bacterium. Its description in RNAcentral is "partial 16S ribosomal RNA". It matches the Rfam family "Bacterial small subunit ribosomal RNA", at positions 28 to 523 of the family's 1533-position model. The record is from RNAcentral.
GACGAACGCUGGCGGCGUGCCUAAUACAUGCAAGUAGAACGCUGAAGGAGGAGCUUACUUCUCUGGAUGAGUUGCGAACGGGUGAGUAACGCGUAGGUAACCUGCCUGGUAGCGGGGGAUAACUAUUGGAAACGAUAGCUAAUACCGCAUAAGAGUAGAUGUUGCAUGACAUUUACUUAAAAGGUGCAAUUGCACCACUACCAGAUGGACCUGCGUUGUAUUAGCUAGUUGGUGGGGUAACGGCUUACCAAGGCGACGAUACAUAGCCGACCUGAGAGGGUGAUCGGCCACACUGGGACUGAGACACGGCCCAGACUCCUACGGGAGGCAGCAGUAGGGAAUCUUCGGCAAUGGACGGAAGUCUGACCGAGCAACGCCGCGUGAGUGAAGAAGGUUUUCGGAUCGUAAAGCUCUGUUGUAAGAGAAGAACGAGUGUGAGAGUGGAAAGUUCACACUGUGACGGUAUCUUACCAGAAAGGGACGGCUAACUACGUGCCAGCCGCCACAGUAA